UGGGGAAUUUUGCACAAUGGGGGAAACCCUGAUGCAGCGACGCCGCGUGAUUUAGAAGGCCUUCGGGUUGUAAAAAUCUUUUCUAUGGGAAGAAAAUGACAGUACCAUAGGAAUAAGGACCGGCUAACUACGUGCCAGCAGCCGCGGUAAUACGUAGGGGGCUAGCGUUGUCCGGAAUCACUGGGCGUAAAGGGUUCGCAGGCGGAAUAACAAGUCAGAUGUGAAAGGCAUGGGCUCAACCCAUGUAAGCAUUUGAAACUGUAAUUCUUGAGAAGUGGAGAGGUAAGUGGAAUUCCUAGUGUAGCGGUGAAAUGCGUAGAUAUUAGGAGGAAUACCUGUGGCGAAGGCGACUUACUGGACACAAAUCUGACGCUGAGGAACGAAAGCGUGGGUAGCAAACAGG
Molecule: ribosomal RNA, 403 nt
Filed under: Verrucomicrobiota bacterium
Lineage: Bacteria; Pseudomonadati; Verrucomicrobiota
Description: Verrucomicrobia bacterium partial 16S ribosomal RNA
Rfam family: Bacterial small subunit ribosomal RNA
Source: RNAcentral